Molecule: non-coding RNA, 24 nt
Filed under: Cricetulus griseus (Chinese hamster)
Lineage: Eukaryota; Metazoa; Chordata; Mammalia; Rodentia; Cricetidae
Source: RNAcentral
GCAUGAGCUGAGAAUGCACUGACA